GUCUACAGCCAUGUUACCCUGAACAACCCGAUCCCAUCUGAUCUCGGAAGCUAAGCAGGAUCAGGCUUGGUUAGCACUUAGAUGGGAGACCACUUACGAAGACCAGGUGCUGCAGGCA
This 118-nucleotide ribosomal RNA is filed under the name Pteropus alecto (black flying fox). Lineage: Eukaryota; Metazoa; Chordata; Mammalia; Chiroptera; Pteropodidae. The record is from RNAcentral.